This is a long non-coding RNA of Lotus japonicus, 1488 nucleotides long. RefSeq lists it as uncharacterized. The record is from RefSeq and is a predicted model, not a curated record. Lineage: Eukaryota; Viridiplantae; Streptophyta; Magnoliopsida; Fabales; Fabaceae. The transcript is spliced from 3 exons.
CUCAGCAUUUUGGCUGAUGUGUCACGUUCCAUUCUUCUCAAGCAUUCAGAACUAGAACUAAAAAUCCUGAAUCACGAAACCUUCUCCAGCAAUAGCAUCAAUCUAUCUCUCCUCUAAGCUCUGAGUGCACCAAUGUCGGCUCCUCUCCACGCCACGCUUUCUCGACCGCCGUCAUAUCCACGUCUGCAAUGUCAUCGUCCUAUAGAACCUGCAUCGCUUCGCCGAGAUAUAUUCAGUUUCAUAAUCCUCAUAAGUCAUAAUAUAUAUUCAUUGGAACAAUACCAGGCCAUAAUUACAUAUGGAGAACUGAAGGUUUCCAUGGGAUGUUCAAAGGGAACAACACUAAUUGUACUCAAAUUGUCUAUAAUUCUGCUGUUGAAGUUCUUCACUUGCGAUUUACGAACACACUUACAAGUAAGAUUUACUUUAGAUACAAAAAGAUGCCUAAUUGCUUUUCUGUUUAGCAUUCUUUUUAUUGACUUUUAAUUCAGGUGUUAUAUUUUACCAAUCAACUCAGGGCUAUAGAAAGUUGGCUUCAAUCCUCUUUGAUCGUUUUUCUUUUACUGCACAAUUUUAUUUAGUCACCCCUGUGGCUAAUAUAUUUCUAUCAGUUCGUAUUUUUUUUUUAAUUUCUCUGCUGUUUUCUUUGACCUUUACUUUUGAUUUGGACAGAGUAUCUGUAUCAGCUACAAACUGGAAAUGGUAUGUUCACGUUAACCAUUUUUUCUUAUGGAUUUGUGUUCGCCUAGAUAAUUUAUGAAACUUAGGUUCCUUCUUCAUCUUUGUCAUCUCACCUCUUUGCUAUGAUAUAAUUUUUCCACCUCAGUUAUUUUGGUGAUGUGCCUCUUAUUUACUUAUGAAUCAUAUCCCUCUUUCACACUGAGUUUAUCAUGAAAGUUUAUAGGUCCCCAGCUAGAGGGUGGUGCUUCUUGGAUGUUAUUCGUAUUAUAGUACUUGACACAUUAUUAUACCUAUUAUCUCUUUGAGCACUUUGUGUAAAGUGAACUUGUAUGUAUCAUUUAAGGCAUAUAUCUACAUAACCUCUUUUCAUCAGUGUUUUUCCCUGGUGCAGGAAGAUGAAUGAUAUAGUAGCUUCUGGUUCUGAAAUGUGUGUGGUGUGCCAGAACUCCCAGGGAAGAGAGAGGAGAAGUAUGAUAUCAUUGUUGGAGUUUGCAUAGUAGCUAACCAUAUCUGAUUGCAUACACGACUCAUUUACUACCAUUUGGUGACAGGCACAUGGGGAUGGGUUAUGGUAUUGAAGUUGGACAAAUAAAACAGUUUCUUUUUUCUCUUGUGAUUACAUAUUUGAUUUUUUUUUUACUUAUGAAUUUACAUGACCUUUGAUUUUAAGUUGUUACUUUUGCUAAACAGCCUAAAUUGUACUAUGUAACCAAUGCAGUUGCAUUCUGCUAUUUUAAUUAGGGGAGUAUUGAAAAGGAGCAAAGCUACUAUGAAAAUCUACACCAUAACAUGUUUUUUGUUCCUCUA